RNAcentral lists this ribosomal RNA (497 nucleotides) under uncultured bacterium. Its description in RNAcentral is "partial 16S ribosomal RNA". It matches the Rfam family "Bacterial small subunit ribosomal RNA", at positions 28 to 507 of the family's 1533-position model. The record is from RNAcentral.
GAUGAACGCUGGCGGCGUGCCUAAUACAUGCAAGUCGAGCGAACAGACGAGGAGCUUGCUCCUCUGACGUUAGCGGCGGAUGGGUGAGUAACACGUGGAUAACCUACCUAUAAGACUGGGAUAACUUCGGGAAACCGGAGCUAAUACCGGAUAAUAUAUUGAACCGCAUGGUUCAAUAGUGAAAGACGGUUUUGCUGUCACUUAUAGAUGGAUCCGCGCCGCAUUAGCUAGUUGGUAAGGUAACGGCUUACCAAGGCAACGAUGCGUAGCCGACCUGAGAGGCUGAUCGGCCACACUGGAACUGAGACACGGUCCAGACUCCUACGGGAGGCAGCAGUAGGGAAUCUUCCGCAAUGGGCGAAAGCCUGACGGAGCAACGCCGCGUGAGUGAUGAAGGUCUUCGGAUCGUAAAACUCUGUUAUUAGGGAAGAACAAAUGUGUAAGUAACUAUGCACGUCUUGACGGUACCUAAUCAGAAAGCCACGGCUAACUACGUG